Molecule: ribosomal RNA, 468 nt
Filed under: uncultured bacterium
Lineage: Bacteria
Description: bacterial SSU rRNA
Rfam family: Bacterial small subunit ribosomal RNA
Source: RNAcentral
AGAGUUUGAUCCUGGAUCAGAACGAACGCUGGCGGCGUGCCUAACACAUGCAAGUCGAACGGAGAUAAGGGGCUUGCUCCUUAUUUUAGUGGCGCACGGGUGAGUAACGCGUGGAUAAUCUACCUUGGAAUCUGGGAUAACAUUUCGAAAGGGGUGCUAAUACCGGAUAAGACCACGAGCUCUUUGGAGUUUGCGGUAAAAGGGGGCCUCUGUAUAUGCUUCUGUUUCAAGAUGAGUCCGCGUACCAUUAGCUAGUUGGCAGGGUAAUGGCCUACCAAGGCGACGAUGGUUAGCUGGUCUGAGAGGAUGAUCAGCCACACUGGAACUGAGACACGGUCCAGACUCCUACGGGAGGCAGCAGUGGGGAAUUUUGCGCAAUGGGGGAAACCCUGACGCAGCAACGCCGCGUGAGUGAUGAAGGCCUUCGGGUCGUAAAACUCUGUCAGAGGGAAAGAAGUGUAUGGCGGU